UAUUACGAAACAACAAUGGAUAUUAAGUGUUCAAUAUUUGAGGAAGAGAAAGAAGAAUUUCCAUGGGAUGAAAAUGUCUUAAAGGAAUUUAAAACAUCUAUCAAGGACCAAGAGAUUCAUUGUCUUAUGGACGACGUUUUCCUUCAUGGAUUUCUACGUGUAGAAAGUUUGAUAUAGAAAGUUCCCUUUAGUUACUUAAGAAUAAUUAUGACUUUAGAGUCAGCAAUCUUCAAUUCUUUAAGAAUUUUCUACCUUCCAAAUUGGAGCAUGUUCUGAACAUGAAUACAUUGCAAUUUUUGCCAAAGCUUGAUCAAGACGGAAGCUAUAUUUACGUAUCUAGAUUAUGUAAUUGGGACACAUCUGUUGCAAGUGCAACUGAUUUAUUGCGGUGUAUGAUGCUUUGUAUGGACCUUCAGUUAACUUUACAUAGAACUCAAGAAAAGAAAAUUGUUUGUAUUAUAGACGCCGGGGGGGUUAUCUCUGUCGCAUUUUUAUUAUUUCUCACCAAAAGUCAUCUGUUGGUUAGUGAUGCUGAUUGCUAAAGAUUCUUAUACUAUUGGAUACAAGACAGUACAUUACGUAAAUUUGAAUAUCAUAAUGAAAGCUAUUUUAAGUGUUUUAGUCCUACUUUUGUCUGAUGAACUGAAGAAAAAGCUACAUUUUCAUUCUGAUCUGAAGACUUUGCACGAAUUCAUCAACCCUGAUUGUCUUCCUUUGGAAUAUGGAGGAACUUUGCCAGGUUUCGAUCCGACUAAAUUUAAUAAUAUGAUUAGAGCUAAUGAAGAAUUCUUCCAAAGAAGCGAAUAAUACCUGAAAAUGUAUGACGAAGAAGAAAGAGAAGUUCUAUAGAAGACAGAUUUACAAACGUUAUCGAAGAUCCAGAAGAAGAAAAAAUGAAAAAAUUUAUAGAGAAAUUAGAAGAAAAAUUUAAUCGUCAUUCUAAUAAUCCAGAAGCUUACUUGGAAUCUUUGAAACAAGACUUGGAAUUCGAAAUUACUCUGUUUUAAAAUAAUUAAAUUACCUUUGUAUUUACUAUUGAAAUAUAUAAACAGAUGUACAUUGUAGUUAAGCCACAACUGUACAGUUUACAUUGAAAACAAAUUAUAGAGUAUG
Molecule: RNA transcript, 1113 nt
Organism: Centruroides sculpturatus (bark scorpion)
Lineage: Eukaryota; Metazoa; Arthropoda; Arachnida; Scorpiones; Buthidae
Gene name: clavesin-1-like
Exons: 5
Source: RefSeq, a predicted model, not a curated record